GGGGGGGUACGGGGAGCCCAGCGGGGCGCGUUCGCGUCCCACCGCUCGCCGCGGGAGAGGGGACGGGGAGGAGGACUACGGAGCGGGGAGGGGAGGAAGAACACCGACAGGAGAGAGGAGCGGCAGAAGUUUCUUCAAAUUGGCACUUGCCUCAGCCCGCAUAACAUCAAAGUGGAUUCUGAAAGGCCCACAAAAGGGACAGUACAUUGAAGGCAUGCAUUUGGGAGACGUGUCAACACAAGAGAGCAGUUGGAGAAGAGGAGAAAGAAAACAGCAAGCAGAUAUGUUAAACAAACUUGAGAAAGGAAACCUAGUGUUAAAUCUCUAAACAUUACUGCACGUGGAUUUGAUCCCGUCUGCACAGGGAGUGGUGGAAAAGUUUUCAUCGUAUUUCAGGCACAGAGGCUCACUCUCCAGACACCUACAGUGGGGUGCUACUGAGGUCAAAGCCCCUUAGUUUCUGGGGAAUGAAUAUUUGAGAAUAAUGCAUGCAGAAAUAGUGUCACAGUUUUGUUGUACCUCCAAAAUAUGGUGAAGCAGAGUAAUGUGGUUUUGGUUUGCUUUUGUUUCUGUUAGUCUGAGCAAGGCACUAAUUUUAAAACCUCCAGCAUCUCCAGUGUGACGCCCCUAGAAGAUACAGAAAAAAGUU
Aquila chrysaetos chrysaetos is the source of this 649-nucleotide long non-coding RNA. RefSeq lists it as uncharacterized. The transcript is spliced from 3 exons. The record is from RefSeq and is a predicted model, not a curated record. NCBI's taxonomy places the organism in Eukaryota, Metazoa, Chordata, Aves, Accipitriformes, Accipitridae.